RNAcentral lists this ribosomal RNA (843 nucleotides) under Triticum aestivum (bread wheat). Its description in RNAcentral is "partial small subunit ribosomal RNA". The record is from RNAcentral. Lineage: Eukaryota; Viridiplantae; Streptophyta; Magnoliopsida; Poales; Poaceae.
AUGGUGGAAGGCUCCGUCCAGGACAUUGCUAACCUGAAGUUCCUCCUCCUGUGCUUCCAACAGAUGUCGGGCUUAACCAUCAACUUCGAUAAGAGCGAAGUGAUGGUUCUCGGGUUCCCCCCGGAGGAAGCACAGGCUAUUGCUGACCGACUCAAUUGUCGGUUGGGUUCUUUCCCCACGACUUACCUGGGGAUCCCCAUUAGCGAUUCGCGCCUCACUGUGGCGGAUCUUCGCCCCACAGUGACCCGUAUGCAACACCGCGUUGAGCCCUGGAAAGGGCGUUGGCUGUCUAAGGCUGCUCGUGUGAUUCUUGUCAACUCUUCACUUGCUAGCCUCCUAUGGUUCGUCAUGAGCUUCUAUAGCCUCCAUGAGACCCUUCAUUAGGAGAUCGCCAAAUUCCAAUCCAAAUUCUUCUGGGCUGGGGAGGGAGAUAAGCAGAAGUACCAUAUGUUAAGCUGGCCCGAUAUCUGCAAACCCAAGGACCAGGGCGGUCUUGGGAUCUUGUCCUCGCGACGCAUGAACAUUGCCCUCCUGACCCGUUGGCUCUGGCGCAUCGCCAAUGGCGAGGGAGGUCUUUGGCUCACCAUCAUCCAGAACAAGUACCUCCGAGGACAGCCUCUUGCAUUCUGUCAGCGCUCGGGCGGCUCCCAGUUUUGGCAGGCCGUCGUCCAGCUGCUUCCCGUGCUUCGCAUUGGCACAUCCAUCUCGGUUGGCACUGGGUCCUCGACCCUGUUCUGGUUUGAUCGUUGGAUUGGCGACUCUCCCCUGGCUGCUCGAUUCCCGGAGCUCUUCGCCAUUGCUGUUGACCCUCGUGUCUCAGUUGAGACGGCCCUUAUUGACUAA